RNAcentral lists this ribosomal RNA (413 nucleotides) under uncultured bacterium. RNAcentral's name for it is "bacterial SSU rRNA". It matches the Rfam family "Bacterial small subunit ribosomal RNA", at positions 917 to 1333 of the family's 1533-position model. The record is from RNAcentral.
GGGCCCGCACAAGCAGCGGAGCGUGUUGCUUAAUUCGAUGAUACGCGAGGAACCUUACCAGGGCUUAAAUGUAGUGGGACAGGUCUAGAGAUAGACCCUUCUUCGGACUCAUUACAAGGUGCUGCAUGGUUGUCGUCAGCUCGUGCCGUGAGGUGUCAGGUUAAGUCCUAUAACGAGCGCAACCCCUAUCGUUAGUUGCCAGCGGGUCAUGCCGGGAACUCUAGCGAAACUGCCGGUGCAAACCGAGAGGAAGGUGGGGAUGACGUCAAAUCAUCACGGCCCUUACGUCCUGGGCCACACACGUGCUACAAUGGCCGGUACAGAGAGCAGCCACUACGCGAGUAGGAGCGAAUCUACAAAACCGGUCUCAGUUCGGAUCGCAGUCUGCAACUCGACUGCGUGAAGCUGGAAUC